AAGUGCUUACAAAUUUUUAUUUUGGACUCAAGAAUCUCAUUAUGAGGUGAGUAUUUUCCUCCUGUUUUUAUUCCAAUGAAAUUUAGCCGAUACUAAGGCAAUGAAUUGAUCAUGUGCUAAAACAGAAUGUUGACAGAGGGCAGUUUCUCAAAACAUUGCUAAGUGCACUUGGCCCGUUGUUCUCAGAGCAUCAGAACAAGCAAAUGAGAGUUGCCUUAAGGUUUCCCUGUUUAGAACAUCACUUAAUUUUGCCAUUUCAGAAUCAGGUAAAAUCCUUUCUGGUAACACUUAAAACAGUCAGCCAAAUUCUUUUAUUCUAUUAGAGUAUCAUUUAAAUAAAAAUAUCCCUAGAAAUUUCAUUUUUCCUAAUUUUUUUCUCCAUUUGACAGGAACAGAAAAAGGAGCUAGUGUCUAACCACUUAUAAGUUAAUUGCAAAUGAAAAAGAGGACUUAGAACUGAGGUAUCAAGAAGGAGGCUGGGUAUUUUCCCAAAUCUCUAGUUUCUACUAAGCAUCUGUCAAAUAGGAAAUCCCAUUUUGCUAUCCUACAGGGAUCUUAUAAUGAACACAUAUAAAGAGAAAUUUUUAAAAUUCUUAUUUCCAAGCUGCUUGUUCCUUUAUCUAGUGCAUUUCAAUAAAUUAUGCCAUUAUCUAUGCAGUUGCUUAAAAUAAAAAAAAAACAAGCAUUCUCCUUGAUUCCUCCUUUUCUUCAACACCUCAAUAUAUAUAGCACGUCCUCUACUCUGUUUAAAUCUCUUGGUACCUACUGCUAACACCCUAGCACCUCAAUUUAAAUCACCAUUAUCUUUUCACCUAAACUACUGAAAUAACUGUGAUCAGUCAGAGUCUAAUGAGAAAACAGAGUCAAUGCUUGGGAGUAUGUAAGAAGCCUAAAAUGUAUGACAAAGGAAUUAGAAGAGCUGAAAAGCCAACCAAGGAUGGUGUGCCAACCCACGAUCAAUUCCCACAACCCCUUUCUUUGACUGAUGGUUCAAUGGCAGGAGAAGCCCAAAGUAUAUCGACGUGGGGGUUUCAAUUAUAUUUCGAAGAAACAAUUAUUGUGUUAUUAAUGCUAUGAGAGAAGCAGCACCUUAUAAUGGUUCCUUGUUCAAAGCACCCAAUAUUCCUAGGAUGUGGUCUCCCAGCUGAUUUCAUAAAUGAAUUAUCAGUAAUUAAUUUCAUUGUUCCAUUAGGCAUACUAAAUAACAAGACUUCCUCCUCCAAGUUUUGCCCAUGAGAGAGGAUAUCUCUUCAUCACUUUUCUUUACGGACAUCUUUGGCUGAGGCUGCAGUAGAAUAAGCAAUCCAUGGCUGGCCAGUACCAGCAUAUGAUGUGACACCUUCGUAACCAGGACUUUACUCUGAGGAGGACCUGUAUCUGUUGGAAUCCUUAGGGCAAGCCACAUAAACAAACUCUGGAUACUUGUAGCAGAAAAUGAAGUUAUUGAAGACUAUUGUGGAGUUUACUAUGAGCCAGAGAACCAGGCUGGGGGGCUGUACCACUUAGAAUGAGAUCCAAACUCACACCAUAGUUCCACCCUUGAGGUUGCCAUGUUGCUGCUACCCCUCCUGCCACCCCACCACUGAAGCUUUGGAUGCUGGAUUCUGGACACAGCUGGGAGAAGUGUUGCUUAUUACCAUUUUAAUAUGUUUUCUUUCAAGACCUUUUUCAAAAUAUACAUACAUAUUUUUAUUUCUAUUCAAAAUGGAAUACAUUUUUUAAGGGUAGCAAUAUAUUGUGAACAUUUUCUUUCCUCUCAGAAACAUUUUUCUAUAAUAUAAUUUAUAGUGAUACAUAGUAAACUAUCUCAUAGACCUACCAUAGUUUACCUAACAAAUCCAAAAUCAUUUGUGCCAUUUCUGAAUUUUUAUUAUCUUAUGUAAUGCUUUAAUGAACAUCCUUGCAUUUAUAUUUUAUACAAUUUUAGAAGCUGAAUUACUGGUUCAAAAUACAUGACGAUUUUUAAUUCUUCUGUUGAAUAUUGACAGAUUGCAAUCCUGAGAGUUAUCUUGAAGGAUAGAGUUAUGUGCCCAGGGUUCUUUUUUAAGAAGUAAUUUGUAAUGUGAAAGAGAAUAGGCUGAAUGUUUUUUAUUCUCUUAGUCCUCCUCUUGUCAUUCUGCAGAGUUUCACUUAUUUGGAUUCAAAUUCUAAUUCUAGCCUACCUCUCUUUUUAUAUAAUUGUUAUGAGGAUUAAAUUAGAUGCAUAAAAUUGCUGCUUACUACAUAUAUUGCACAAACUAAAAACUUUUCAAAGGUUAACUGUUUUUCUGGUUUGUUUUUAAGAGACAGGUU
This is a long non-coding RNA of Piliocolobus tephrosceles (Ugandan red Colobus), 2292 nucleotides long. RefSeq lists it as uncharacterized. NCBI's taxonomy places the organism in Eukaryota, Metazoa, Chordata, Mammalia, Primates, Cercopithecidae. The record is from RefSeq and is a predicted model, not a curated record. The transcript is spliced from 5 exons.